Molecule: ribosomal RNA, 253 nt
Filed under: uncultured bacterium
Lineage: Bacteria
Description: partial 16S ribosomal RNA
Rfam family: Bacterial small subunit ribosomal RNA
Source: RNAcentral
UACGGGGGGGGCAAGCGUUGUCCGGAAUCAUUGGGCGUAAAGAGCGUGUAGGCGGCCAGAUAAGUCCGCUGUGAAAUCUCGAGGCUCAACUUCGAGCUGUCGGUGGAAACUGUCUGGCUAGAGUCCGGAAGAGGAGAAUGGAAUUCCUGGUGUAGCGGUGAAAUGCGCAGAUAUCAGGAAGAACACCCGUGGCGAAGGCGGUUCUCUGGGACGGUACUGACGCUGAGGCACGAAGGCCAGGGGAGCAAACGGG